Molecule: ribosomal RNA, 500 nt
Filed under: uncultured bacterium
Lineage: Bacteria
Description: partial 16S ribosomal RNA
Rfam family: Bacterial small subunit ribosomal RNA
Source: RNAcentral
AUUGAACGCUGGCGGCAUGCCUUACACAUGCAAGUCGAACGGCAGCACGGGAGCAAUCCUGGUGGCGAGUGGCGAACGGGUGAGUAAAGUAUCGGAACGUGCCCAGUCGUGGGGGAUAACGUAGCGAAAGUUACGCUAAUACCGCAUACGAUCUAUGGAUGAAAGCGGGGGAUCGCAAGACCACGCGCGAUUGGACCGGCCGAUAUCAGAUUAGGUAGUUGGUGGGGUAAAGGCUCACCAAGCCGACGAUCUGUAGCUGGUCUGAGAGGACGACCAGCCACACUGGGACUGAGACACGGCCCAUACUCCUACGGGAGGCAGCAGUGGGGAAUUUUGGACAAUGGGCGCAAGCCUGAUCCAGCCAUGCCGCGUGCAGGAUGAAGGCCUUCGGGUUGUAAACUGCUUUUGUACGGAACGAAAAGGUUUGACUUAAUACGUUGGACUCAUGACGGUACCGUAAGAAUAAGCACCGGCUAACUACGUGCCAGCCGCCGCAGUAA